GUUGCUAUGGGGUGGUGUUGCUAUGGGAUGCCGUUGCUAUGGGGCAGCGUUGCUAUGGGGCAGCGUUGCCAUGGGACGCUGUUACUAUGGGAUGCUGUUGCUAUGGAGUGCCGUUGCUAUGGGGCACGGUUGCUAUGGAGUGCUGUUGCUAUGGGAUGCCGUUGCUAUGAGACACAGUUGCUAUGGGGCUGCGUUGCUAUGGGACGCUGUUGCUAUGGGGUGCUGUUGCUAUGGGACACCGUUGCUAUGGGACGGUGUUGCUAUGGGGUGUCGUUGCUAUGGGGUGCUGUUGCUAUGGGGUGGUGUUAUUAUGGGAUGCCGUUGCUAUGGGGCACCGUUGCUAUGAGACACAGUUGCUAUGGGGCUGCGUUGCUAUGGGACGCUGUUGCUAUGGGGUGCUGUUGCUAUGGGACACCGUUGCUAUGGGACGGUGUUGCUAUGGGGUGUCGUUGCUAUGGGGUGCUGUUGCUAUGGGGUGGUGUUAUUAUGGGAUGCCGUUGCCUAUGGGAUGUCGUUGCUAUGGGGCACGGUUGCUAUGGGGCAUGGUUGCUAUGGGAUGCCGUUGCUAUGGGGUAAUGUUGCUAUGGGGUGGUGUUAUGGGAUGCCGUUGCUAUGGGGCAGCGUUGCUAUGGGAUGCCGUUGCUAUGGGGCACCGUUGCUAUGGGAUGCUGUUGCUAUGAUGCGGUGUUGCUGUGGGACGCUGUUGCUAUGGAGCGCCGUUGCUAUGGGAUGUCGUUGCUAUGGGGCACGGUUGCUAUGGGGCAUGGUUGCUAUGGGAUGCCGUUGCUAUGGGGUGCUGUUGCUAUGGGGCAAUGUUGCUAUGGGGUGGUGUUAUGGGAUGCCGUUGCUAUGGGGCAGCGUUGCUAUGGGAUGCCGUUGCUAUGAGACAUAGUUGCUAUGGGAUGCUGUUGCUAUGAUGCGGUGUUGCUAUGGGAUGCCGUUGCUAUGGGGUGCCGUUGCUAUGGGGUGGUGUUGCUAAUGCCGUUGCUAUGGGGCAGCGUUGCCAUGGGAUGCCGUUGCUAUGGGGUGCCGUUGCUAUGGGGUGCCGUUGCUAUGGGGCACUGUUGCUAUGGGGUGCUGUUGCUAUGGGGUGCCGUUGCUAUGAGACACAGUUGCUAUGGGGUGCCGUUGCUAUGGGAUGCCGUUGCUAUGGGGCACCGUUGCUAUGGGACGGUGUUGCUAUGGGGUGUCGUUGCUAUGGGGUGCUGUUGCUAUGGGGUGGUGUUAUUAUGGGAUGCCGUUGCUAUGGGGCACCGUUGCUAUG
This 1264-nucleotide long non-coding RNA is filed under the name Chrysolophus pictus (golden pheasant). Its description in RNAcentral is "lncRNA (ENSCPIG00010001979.1)". Lineage: Eukaryota; Metazoa; Chordata; Aves; Galliformes; Phasianidae. The record is from RNAcentral.